This 85-nucleotide non-coding RNA is filed under the name bovine gut metagenome. RNAcentral's name for it is "S10-Clostridia ribosomal protein leader". It matches the Rfam family "S10-Clostridia ribosomal protein leader". The record is from RNAcentral.
UGAUAGCUAUGAAGCGUGAGGUUGCCGCAAUGAAUUUUGCGGGUUUUUCCGUGGAGCGAAUGUCAAGUUAUGAAACUGACGACAA